This 310-nucleotide RNase P RNA is filed under the name Xenopus tropicalis (tropical clawed frog). RNAcentral describes it as "Nuclear RNase P (ENSXETG00000045175.1)". It matches the Rfam family "Nuclear RNase P". From Rfam's summary of the family: Ribonuclease P (RNase P) is a ubiquitous endoribonuclease, found in archaea, bacteria and eukarya as well as chloroplasts and mitochondria. Its best characterised activity is the generation of mature 5'-ends of tRNAs by cleaving the 5'-leader elements of precursor-tRNAs. Cellular RNase Ps are ribonucleoproteins. Lineage: Eukaryota; Metazoa; Chordata; Amphibia; Anura; Pipidae. The record is from Rfam by way of RNAcentral.
GGAGGGAAGCUCAUGCUGAGGCUACAGACAGAGUGUAGGGGGUCACUCUAUGUGCCUCAGGGAAGGUCUGAGACUGGAGCUCCUAGUUGCCCUGCAGGGCAUCCCUUGGAUGAAGGCGGUGGGUCCCCGAGAACUUGGCUCUGAUUUGCCCAGUGAGUGCAAAAGAUGCAGCAAGUACCCAAUGUUGUGCUUCUGCAGAUGCAAAGGCAUCAGGCUUGGCACUGCCCCCACAGUGGCACAUUCAAGCCACAUGGCUGAGAGGGAACUGCCUGUGGUUUCCCAACCCAAUUCAGACUACUCUCUCCACUUU